Cyprinus carpio (common carp) is the source of this 2421-nucleotide long non-coding RNA. The record is from Ensembl. NCBI's taxonomy places the organism in Eukaryota, Metazoa, Chordata, Actinopteri, Cypriniformes, Cyprinidae.
AGUCAAGUCACAUUUAUUUCUGUUGUGUCAGUAGUUCACUCUGAUUGGUCGUUCUCUGUCUGCGUGUCAGUAGUUCACUCUGAUUGGUCGUUCCCUGUCUGCGUGUCAGUAGUUCACUCUGAUUGGUCGUUCUCUGUCUGCGUGUCAGUAGUUCACUCUGAUUGGUCGUUCUCUGUCUGCGUGUCAGUAGUUCACUCUGAUUGGUCGUUCUCUGUCUGCGUGUCAGUAGUUCACUCUGAUUGGUCGUUCUCUGUCUGCGUGUCAGUAGUUCACUCUGAUUGGUCGUUCUCUGUCUGCGUGUCAGUAGUUCACUCUGAUUGGUCGUUCUCUGUCUGCGUGUCAGUAGUUCACUCUGAUUGGUCGUUCUCUGUCUGCGUGUCAGUAGUUCACUCUGAUUGGUCGUUCUCUGUCUGCGUGUCAGUAGUUCACUCUGAUUGGUCGUUCUCUGUCUGCGUGUCAGUAGUUCACUCUGAUUGGUCGUUCUCUGUCUGCGUGUCAGUAGUUCACUCUGAUUGGUCGUUCUCUGUCUGCGUGUCAGUAGUUCACUCUGAUUGGUCGUUCUCUGUCUGCGUGUCAGUAGUUCACUCUGAUUGGUCGUUCUCUGUCUGCGUGUCAGUAGUUCACUCUGAUUGGUCGUUCUCUGUCUGCGUGUCAGUAGUUCACUCUGAUUGGUCGUUCUCUGUCUGCGUGUCAGUAGUUCACUCUGAUUGGUCGUUCUCUGUCUGCGUGUCAGUAGUUCACUCUGAUUGGUCGUUCUCUGUCUGCGUGUCAGUAGUUCACUCUGAUUGGUCGUUCUCUGUCUGCGUGUCAGUAGUUCACUCUGAUUGGUCGUUCUCUGUCUGCGUGUCAGUAGUUCACUCUGAUUGGUCGUUCUCUGUCUGCGUGUCAGUAGUUCACUCUGAUUGGUCGUUCUCUGUCUGCGUGUCAGUAGUUCACUCUGAUUGGUCGUUCUCUGUCUGCGUGUCAGUAGUUCACUCUGAUUGGUCGUUCUCUGUCUGCGUGUCAGUAGUUCACUCUGAUUGGUCGUUCUCUGUCUGCGUGUCAGUAGUUCACUCUGAUUGGUCGUUCUCUGUCUGCGUGUCAGUAGUUCACUCUGAUUGGUCGUUCUCUGUCUGCGUGUCAGUAGUUCACUCUGAUUGGUCGUUCUCUGUCUGCGUGUCAGUAGUUCACUCUGAUUGGUCGUUCUCUGUCUGCGUGUCAGUAGUUCACUCUGAUUGGUCGUUCUCUGUCUGCGUGUCAGUAGUUCACUCUGAUUGGUCGUUCUCUGUCUGCGUGUCAGUAGUUCACUCUGAUUGGUCGUUCUCUGUCUGCGUGUCAGUAGUUCACUCUGAUUGGUCGUUCUCUGUCUGCGUGUCAGUAGUUCACUCUGAUUGGUCGUUCUCUGUCUGCGUGUCAGUAGUUCACUCUGAUUGGUCGUUCUCUGUCUGCGUGUCAGUAGUUCACUCUGAUUGGUCGUUCUCUGUCUGCGUGUCAGUAGUUCACUCUGAUUGGUCGUUCUCUGUCUGCGUGUCAGUAGUUCACUCUGAUUGGUCGUUCUCUGUCUGCGUGUCAGUAGUUCACUCUGAUUGGUCGUUCUCUGUCUGCGUGUCAGUAGUUCACUCUGAUUGGUCGUUCUCUGUCUGCGUGUCAGUAGUUCACUCUGAUUGGUCGUUCUCUGUCUGCGUGUCAGUAGUUCACUCUGAUUGGUCGUUCUCUGUCUGCGUGUCAGUAGUUCACUCUGAUUGGUCGUUCUCUGUCUGCGUGUCAGUAGUUCACUCUGAUUGGUCGUUCUCUGUCUGCGUGUCAGUAGUUCACUCUGAUUGGUCGUUCUCUGUCUGCGUGUCAGUAGUUCACUCUGAUUGGUCGUUCUCUGUCUGCGUGUCAGUAGUUCACUCUGAUUGGUCGUUCUCUGUCUGCGUGUCAGUAGUUCACUCUGAUUGGUCGUUCUCUGUCUGCGUGUCAGUAGUUCACUCUGAUUGGUCGUUCUCUGUCUGCGUGUCAGUAGUUCACUCUGAUUGGUCGUUCUCUGUCUGCGUGUCAGUAGUUCACUCUGAUUGGUCGUUCUCUGUCUGCGUGUCAGUAGUUCACUCUGAUUGGUCGUUCUCUGUCUGCGUGUCAGUAGUUCACUCUGAUUGGUCGUUCUCUGUCUGCGUGUCAGUAGUUCACUCUGAUUGGUCGUUCUCUGUCUGCGUGUCAGUAGUUCACUCUGAUUGGUCGUUCUCUGUCUGCGUGUCAGUAGUUCACUCUGAUUGGUCGUUCUCUGUCUGCGUGUCAGUAGUUCACUCUGAUUGGUCGUUCUCUGUCUGCGUGUCAGUAGUUCACUCUGAUUGGUCGUUCUCUGUCUGCGUGUCAGUAGUUCACUCUGAUUGGUCGUUCUCUGUCUGCGUGUCAGUAGUUCACUCUGAUUGGUCGUUCUCUGUCUGUGUCAGUGUUUGUUUCUGA